AUAUUCAGAAAGUUUUUUUGCUUACCAUUCUUCUUCUUCUUUCUCGAUUCAUCUUCACUUCUCCAACAUAAUAUUGUUAGAAAAAUUAUUUUCUAAUUGAUUAGCCUGCACAUCCAAAACCCAUUAUAUGGACCAUUAGUUUCGUAUGGGCUAUCUACUAGUGAUCAUGUCAUGAAGCGCAUGACUACUCAAAUUUUAAUAUAAAC
RNAcentral lists this long non-coding RNA (206 nucleotides) under Linum usitatissimum (flax). Its description in RNAcentral is "long non-coding RNA (LUSI_LNC003980)". The record is from RNAcentral. Lineage: Eukaryota; Viridiplantae; Streptophyta; Magnoliopsida; Malpighiales; Linaceae.